Molecule: ribosomal RNA, 460 nt
Filed under: uncultured bacterium
Lineage: Bacteria
Description: partial 16S ribosomal RNA
Rfam family: Bacterial small subunit ribosomal RNA
Source: RNAcentral
CCUACGGGAGGCAGCAGUGAGGAAUAUUGGUCAAUGGGCGCAAGCCUGAACCAGCAAAGUAGCGUGAAUGAUGACUGCCCUACGGGUUGUAAACUUCUUUUAUAAAGGAAUAAAGUGAGGCACGUGUGCCUUUUUGUAUGGACUUUAUGAAUAAGGAUCGGCACACUCCGUGCCAGCAGCCGCGGUAAUACGGAGGAUACGAGCGUUAUCCGGAUUUAUUGGGUUGAAAGGGAGCGUAGAUGGGUUGUUAAGUCAGUUGUGAAAGUGUGCGGCUUAACCGUAGAAGUGCAAUUGAUACUGGCAGCCUUGAGUACAGUUGAGGUAGGUGGAAUUCGUGGUGUAGCGGUGAAAUGCUUAGAUAUCACGAAGAACUCCGAUGGCGAAGGCAGCCUACUAAACUGCAACUGACAUUGAUGUUCGAAAGUGUGGGUAUCAAACAGGAGUAGAUACCCGAGUAGUC